Molecule: ribosomal RNA, 253 nt
Filed under: uncultured bacterium
Lineage: Bacteria
Description: partial 16S ribosomal RNA
Rfam family: Bacterial small subunit ribosomal RNA
Source: RNAcentral
UACAGAGGGUGCGAGCGUUAAUCGGAAUUACUGGGCGUAAAGCGCGUGUAGGCGGCUCUGCAAGUCGGGUGUGAAAUCCCAUGGCUCAACCAUGGAAGUGCACUCGAAACUGCAGGGCUAGAGUCCUGGAGAGGAAGGUGGAAUGCUUGGUGUAGAGGUGAAAUUCGUAGAUAUCAAGCGGAACACCGGUGGCGAAGGCGGCCUUCUGGACAGUGACUGACGCUGAGACGCGAAAGCGUGGGGAGCAAACAGG